AAUCAACGCUGGCGGCGUGCCUCAGACAUGCAAGUCGAACGAGAAAGUUCCCUUCGGGGAAUGAGUAAAGUGGCGCACGGGUGAGUAACACGUAGGUAAUCUACCUUCGGGUGGGGAAUAACCCAGGGAAACUUGGGCUAACACCGCAUAAUGCAGCGGCACCACAUGGUGACAGUUGUUAAAGCGGGGGAUUUUAGGACCUCGCGCCUGAAGAGGAGCCUGCGGCGGAUUAGCNGUUGGUAAGGUAACGGCUUACCAAGGCGACGAUCCGUAGCCGGCCUGAGGAGGGCGGUCGGCCACACUGACACUGACAUACGGGUCAGACUCCUACGGGAGGCAGCAGUCGGGAAUUUUGGGCAAUGGGCGAAAGCCUGACCCAGCAACGCCGC
RNAcentral lists this ribosomal RNA (389 nucleotides) under uncultured bacterium. RNAcentral's name for it is "bacterial SSU rRNA". It matches the Rfam family "Bacterial small subunit ribosomal RNA", at positions 32 to 400 of the family's 1533-position model. The record is from RNAcentral.